RNAcentral lists this ribosomal RNA (484 nucleotides) under uncultured bacterium. RNAcentral's name for it is "partial 16S ribosomal RNA". It matches the Rfam family "Bacterial small subunit ribosomal RNA", at positions 30 to 507 of the family's 1533-position model. The record is from RNAcentral.
AUUGAACGCUGGCGGCAGGCCUAACACAUGCAAGUCGAGCGGACGAAGGGAGCUUGCUCCUGGAUUCAGCGGCGGACGGGUGAGUAAUGCCUAGGAAUCUGCCUGGUAGUGGGGGAUAACGUCCGGAAACGGGCGCUAAUACCGCAUACGUCCUGAGGGAGAAAGUGGGGGAUCUUCGGACCUCACGCUAUUAGAUGAGCCUAGGUCGGAUUAGCUAGUUGGUGGGGUAAAGGCCUACCAAGGCGACGAUCCGUAACUGGUCUGAGAGGAUGAUCAGUCACACUGGAACUGAGACACGGUCCAGACUCCUACGGGAGGCAGCAGUAGGGAAUAUUGGGCAAUGGGCGAAAGCCUGAUCCAGCCAUGCCGCGUGUGUGAAGAAGGUCUUCGGAUUGUAAAACACUUUAAGUUGGGAGGAAGGUCAGUAAGUUAAUACCUUGCUGUUUUGACGUUACCAACAGAGUAAGCACCGGCUAACUUCGUG